CCUUCCCAUGUGACUGUCCUGAUGAGGAAGUAGCUGAAGCUGUCAAAACCUAGUAAGCUCCCUACCUAGACAGCAGUUAGGGUAUUCUAGUCAGCGGACUCGGAAAGCUCUUACGACUCCGUAAUAUGCUGCCUAGAAUGUAGCUGCAAGCAUCACAUCUGUAUCAGGACAUAUCUCUUGAGUCUUGAAUUCAAAGCCUUUUCAGAAAAGGAAAGAAGCACAUUGAGAUUAGGAAUCUCUUUUACAAGAGCGCUCUGGCCAAGACUGACAGACACAGCACGUUUGAGUAUAACAAAUAACAUCCAACAAUACAUACACAUAUACACACACAAGCAUAUCCAUUAAAUUUCAAUAUCAAUACAUAACUAGCUAAAACAUCUACAACCCGAUGAUUCAUUCUCCAAAGCAUUUGAAACUACUUUAAAAGUGUCCAACAAAACCACUUCCCUCAGUUUCAAUGUACUUUGCAAACAAUUCCAGGCAGAGGGGGCAGCAUAUUUAAAUGUCUUUUUCCCCAAUUCAGUACGUGCCACUGGAGCACACAGUAAAUAUAUAUCCUGUGACCGGAGGCUAUAGCUACAAGCAUACUUUUUAA
Long non-coding RNA from Carassius auratus (goldfish), 595 nucleotides. RefSeq lists it as uncharacterized. The transcript is spliced from 3 exons. Lineage: Eukaryota; Metazoa; Chordata; Actinopteri; Cypriniformes; Cyprinidae. The record is from RefSeq and is a predicted model, not a curated record.